Molecule: ribosomal RNA, 327 nt
Filed under: Triticum aestivum (bread wheat)
Lineage: Eukaryota; Viridiplantae; Streptophyta; Magnoliopsida; Poales; Poaceae
Description: partial small subunit ribosomal RNA
Source: RNAcentral
AUGAAUAUUUUGGCGUGGAACUAUCAAGGAAUGGGGUUGGACUCGACAGUAGGCGAGCCGCGUGACCUGAUUAGAUCCUACAACCCAACGGUGGUGUUCUUGAGCGAAACAAAGAAGAAGGCUAGUGCUAUGGAGAGACUGAAAUGGAGACUGGCAUUCCGCAAUGGUGUUUGCCUGGAUUGUGAUAGCCUCAGUGGGGGUCUUGCACUAUGGUGGAGAGAUAACAUUCAGGUGACAAUUAGACCAUGGUGUCAAUAUUUUAUUGACACGGAGAUACAGUGGGAGGGGAAGACCUGUAGAUUCACUGGUUUCUACAGGGAGCCAUGA